This is a non-coding RNA of Callithrix jacchus (white-tufted-ear marmoset), 9147 nucleotides long. The record is from RefSeq and is a predicted model, not a curated record. NCBI's taxonomy places the organism in Eukaryota, Metazoa, Chordata, Mammalia, Primates, Cebidae.
UUUCAAGACCAAUGGCAGUUGUACUCUAGUUCUAACAGACGCUGUUCUUGGCUAUGAUUCUGCAGCUGCAGACACGGACUCCCUGACUUAUGUUUCCCUCUCCCUCUCUGAGCCGCUGUCAACUCUUCCACUGUGCUAUGCUCUGCAGAAGGCCAUCUCCACUCCCCAGGUCUGGGAGCUACUUGGGUCUCCCCGAAUAACCUGUGUCCCAGGACGCUCUGUUACCGCAGCUGCUUGCAGUCCCCUCUGGGGAUCUUGCUCUGCUUUCCACAGAAUGGGUAUUGUUCUUGUUUGGAUCACUGCCCUAAAUUCAAGUUCAUUCAAAAGCGCCUUUGAGAACUUGGCUCUCUCUUGCAUCUGCCUUUCAGAGUUGUAUGUACCUGGAGCGCAGCCUGGGGACCACUGCUUCCAGGAAGAUGAAGCAUCCCUUUGCAUCUUUCUGUCUUCCUUAUGGAUAGGGGUGCGUAGUCUUUUCUGCCCUCUUCCUUUGGGUUUAUGCUUGGCAGAUCAUCUGAUCAAGUCAUAUGCUUGAGCUCUAAACUCUGUGGCUGCCUAUAAAACCUGUUUUCCAAUGGUGGUAGAAACAAAGUUAUAAACACCUGUGGAUUUUAUCUCUAAAAUAUCUCCCAAAUGCCCCUGCUCUCUGCCAUGAGCACCACCGCCUCUCUGGGCCACUGCGCUCUCCUGCCUGGAUGACAGCAGUACCCUCCUCAGUACAUCCCUGCAAGCUGUUCUCCCCACAGUGAGCCAGAGAUCUUUUCUUAAACAUAAAUUGAAGUGUCAUUUUCCUGGAAACCCCCCCCCCCCCAAUAUCUCUGCACUGCCCUUAGAAUGAGAUCCAAACUUUUUCUGGUGACCUCCAGAGGCUGCUGUGACCAGGCCAGCCUGGCUCUGGGGCCCUGCCACCUUUUCCCUGACUAUCGUGCUCCUUUUCCAGAAGGAUUUGCUGCUCUUCCAGCCUCUCACACUCACCCAACUCUUUCCUGCCUCACCUGAGACAUUCCCUCCACAGACAGGACUUCCUGUCACCCAAUUGUCACUCCUAGCUCCUUUCUUCAUUCAGCCUCUUUGCUAGCUUUUUAUUUAUUUAGCCUGGCACAUACUAGGUAUUCAAUACACACCUGCUGGAUUGAAUCCAUAAACCUAUUGGAUGCUAAGUGUUUUCUCCUGAAAUUCAUUUUCCUGUCUCUAUCCGUAUUGAUGUUCUUCACUCCUCUAGGUGCCCUCCAUCAGGCAGAUGGAAUUCCUUCAUGAGGACUUCCUAACCCACUCUAGUCUGGAAUUGUCUUCUGUCUUAGGAUCUGUUGUCAUCCUAUUCACCAACAAAACUCUUACCUCACUGAAAUAGCUUCUCACUCCUCCCCUGCACACCCACACUCACAUGUACACACACCUGUUCUUUCUGUGUUGGCGGGAUGUUAUUCAUAGGGCAUGGUAAGGAACAGUGGUUAAGUAUCUGGGCUCUGGAGCCAAACUGCUUGGGUUCAAAUCUUGGCUCUGUCAAUUACUUGUGGGGCAGGUGAUUUAACCUCUCUUUGCCUCGGUUUUCUCAUCUGUAAAGCAGGGGCAAUGCUAGAACCUUCCUCACAUGGUUGCUGUGAAAAUUAAAUGGAUCAAAACGUAUCAAAUAUAUAGAACCGUGCUGGGCACGUAUUGAGCAGUAUAGAAGUAGUAGGUAUUAUGGUCAUUUGAAUGAGGAAGAAAUGAUUUUGCACUGUGAGAUUCUCAUGAACUGGGUUUUCAAUCUAGAUUUCUCCUAGACUGAAGGUCUAUCCACCUUCACUAUGUCUGCUAAGGGAUUCCUCUGGGUCACAUUUCUCCUGGCAUCUCUUAGGGCUUAGUCUGGUUGAAAGAGAAAGGGGAGUUUAGGCAUGAGCAAAAACAUAUGUUCAUUUAGCAACUUCAGUUGCUCUACUGACCCCUGACUGCCAGCUGGACACAGGAGGCCAGGACUGGCUGGGCUCCCAAGAUGGGCUGACAGGCAGAGGGGACCAUCGAGCAAGUGAUGUUGUGAAAGUGGCUGCCCUCACAUCCCCUUCAUUCUCAGUGGCGGCGGGGAUCCUGGCCUUCCCCUUCUAUCCGUUCUGCAGCCUGCUGAAGUCUUCAUGGCCUUGCUCUUUUUUUGGGAUUAAGUCUUUUGGGAUUUGUCUUAGUUAAGUUGCACCUCUUUUGAUCUCUCCACCACAGUUUUCUGUCCCUCCCCUCCCACUCUAACAGCUGAAAUGUCUCAGCCUCUGGAGCUGACUCCUGGUGCCUCCUGUUUCCUAGCCCUCCCUGAGAGUCAGCAAGGGCACAGGUUAAAUACAUGGUUUACCAGGCCUUUCUCCUGGAAAUUCUGAUUCUGGAGGCCUGGAUCAAAGUCUAAAGGGAAUCCGCACCUUCAACAAGCGCUCCUGGUGACUCUUAUCUUCAGCGAAGCUUGGAAGUCACUGCCCAGGGCUUGCUCAUGUUUUCAUUCUCCACAAAAUCUCAUGGUUUCCUCCAGCCCAGUAUGCAUCUCAUGCUUUUGACAGCAGACAGAUCUUGUUUUGUUACCCUGUGUUGCUAUCUAACUCUCAACAAUCUAUACCUUUUCUCUUCAAACAAUAGAAACUUCUAAAGAGUGGGCAUCAAGGUUUUUUGUUUCUUACAUAGUAGGGCCUCAAUAAAUAUUUGGUUGAAAUUUUACUUUUUCUUCUCAUUAUAUUCAUUUGGGGUGAAUACUGGAAUUGUUUUACGUAUCAUCAAAAGGGCAUGAAGGAAAGGGCUUGGAAAUGUGUUAGGUAGGCUAGGUGCAGUGGCUCAUGCCUGUGAUCUCAACACUUUGGGUGGCUAAGGUGGGUGGGUCGCUGGAGCCCAGGAGUUCAAGACCAGCCUUGGCAACAUGGUGAAACCUGGUCUCUACCAAAAAUACGGAACUUAGCAAUUCUUAUAACCCAGUCUCAAAAUAAAUAAAUAAACAAUCGAUCAAAAUUUAAAAAUAAAAUAAACAAUUUUUAAAAAGAGAUAGGUAAAAGAGGCAUGUUACUUUGUGAUUACACAGGCCUUACAUAUUCAGGGUUUGAUUAAGUAAGUUCAAUGAAAACAUCUCUGGUGACUGGAAUAACUCGCUGCUGUCUAAAAGUGAGUCAUGGAUAGAGCAGCAUGGAUGUGUUACUCGAAGAACUUCUCCCCACCACGAAUUGUAUGUGUGACCUUUUUUUUUUUUUUUUUUUUAGAUGGAGUUUCGCUCUUGUGACCCAGGCUGUAGUGCAAUGGUGCUAUCUCGGCUCACCGCAACCUCCGCCUCCUGGGUUCAGGCAAUUCUCCUGCCUCUCAGCCUCCCGAGUAGCUGGGAUUACAGGCACGCACCACCAUGCCCAGCUAAUUUUUUGUAUCUUUAGUAGAGACGGGGUUUCACCAUGUUGACCAGGAUGGUCUCGAUCUCUUGACCUCGUGAUCCACCCGCCUCGGCCUCCCAGAGUGCUGGGAUUACAGGCUUGAGCCACCGUGCCCGGCCUAUAUAUGUGAUCUUAAGUGAGAUGUGUCUGCAAAGUAAGCGUCAACUUCCUUAUUCAAAAAAGGUUAAAUUCUGACCUCACAGGGUGCAUGAAGUCAAAUGAGAUACUGUGUGCAGAAUCAUUUUGCAAUUUGUAAAGUGCUGUACAGAGGGUGGGAAUUACUCUUAGUCAUCCUUACAGUUAGUUUUCCAGCUCACCUGCCUGUCUGCAUUCCGUCACAGCGUUCCUGAGUCAUGUGACUACAUGUAAAGGCUGUGCUAGGGAGCCUAGGAAAUCUGCUUCCCGACAAGAGCUGUGAAACCUCACAUCCUAAUUGACAGAGACAAGGAGCAACGGUGAUUCACAGGCAGCUCCAGGAGAGCAGCCAGCUCAGGCCUGAAAACGUCUCUUUGGAUGGGUCUGCUGGGGAACGGGAACAGAUCCCUUCUAAGCUUUGGUUUGCCUCAGAGAGGAAUUUAGGAGCUGGACUAUGAUUGGAGAAAUGGUUAACGUCCACAAACAUAUACAAGGUUUUCAGAUGGCAAUGCUUAAAAUCUCAACAACAAUAAAAAAUCAUAGCUGCAUUACAGCAAAAGGGGGUUGCUGUCCUCUAAGUGAACCCUCAGAGAGUCACUUUUCUGAGCUUGAUAAGAAUAUAUUACAAGACGCAGUUUUCAGAGUUCUGUAAGCUUUGGCAGGGAUGGGCUGGUACGGGUGAGAAGAAAGCAACAGAUUUAAAAAAUCUGUAUAAACACCGAUAGAAAUAAACUUGCUGCUUGCUGCAGCGUACCCAUGUCGUUAGAGAUUUUGCCCUUAACAUCUCUCUUUUAAAUCUGACUCCAGGAAAUAGAUUUGGAACCUGAUCAAUCCCAUCCUUGACUCUGCCAUCCUUCUCCCAGAAUUAUAAACAUAAGAUUAUUACAGCGCAUUUCCUGCAUGUGCCUUCCAUGUGGCUCCAGUCUCCACCUCACAAGUGCAGCGAGUAAACGCUCCCCAAGUGUAAUUCUGAAGUGCGGCCCAUCUGAUCCAUUUCAAUCCAUCCCAUUCCUGGAAAAACCACAGUCCCCCAGCAGUCUCUAAGCCCUUCACUUUUGAAAAGCACACAGCUUCCCUGCUACCCCUUGCUUCUGUGGGUCCGGCUGGAACGGUAACAGCAACCUAAGGAAGACCCCUCUCACGCUGAUGCUGGGGCUUGGCCAUGUGACUUGCUUCUGCCAAUGGAGCUUUAGCAAACGUGAAACAGAGUUUUAAAAAGGACUGAUGCAUUGGGACUAUCCUGCUGCUGGGAGUUCUUCCCCCAUCAUGUGAACAAACCUGCCUGACAAAAGAUUGAUGGGAGAACAAACCUCAGAAUAAGAAGCUAUAUGAUGAGAAGCUUCAGCUAUCCCAGCCAUGCCAGUCAUGCCAACGGAGAGACCUCAGACAUAUCCUACCAGAUUCACUUCUUGGCCUUAUAGGAAGGAGCCAGAGUCCCAAAGAAGUCUGGGGAGAGCAGGAUGUGGCAGAGAACAGUGACCAGUGCCUUCGUGUGGAACUGGGAGCAUUGGUGAAAGACUGCAGGGUUUGGGGGAGGGAGAGACUGAGGGUUCUUGGCCUUCUGAGAUUCCCAGUCUGGAAGGCACACUCGCUCAGCCUGCAGCCUGGAGAGCAGAGGCUUGGGAAAUGCUGGAAAGGCCCUUUCUCCCCUUUCCCACUCACACCCUCCUUUCCUAUCUGCCCUGUCUGUGCUCUGCCGUCCUAUCCCACAGAGUUCUGUGGGAAAAAACACUACAUCAACAACAACAAGAUAAUAAAGGGCAUGUCAACGAGAGAGCAGGACAGGGGAGGGGGAAAGGGUGAUUUUGGCAGCAAUACCCCAUCAUCUAGUGCCUCUGCACUUCCCUCACCUCCCUCCUCCCUGAACCAGAUGGGACUGGAAGGCAGAGCUGAAGGAAACCAUAGAGAUUGCCCACCUAACCCCUUUCUCUUACAGAUGAGGAAACUAGGCCCCAAAGACAUUAGCUGAUUUGCCUAGGGUCACAUAAGAAGUUUGUGAUGGUCAGAUCAAGAAUUCAGUUUCCAGACUCUCAGUCCAGUGCUCUUUCUGCCACUCCCAAUGAUACCGACUUGUCAGGUAUCAGUUAUGUUACACUCAGCCUUGGCUUUUGGAGACCCAUUUCCAAGAGCAAUGUGAAUCCAAGGAUUUCUUUUUGUCUGAGCACUGUUUCUCUCUCUGAGCUGAUUCCUCCUCUGCUGCUUAACUUUGGCUCUAAGACAUCAAAAGUUCAGAGUCCAUUCCCAUGGAGGCCUCUCUCCUCCUACAGUGCUCUUCUUGGGUGGACUCUCAUUCUGCCCCUCUUAUCUCCUGCUGUAUGCUGACUAAACAGAGCUAUGGGCCCUGGAAUGUUUCUGCAGGCAGCAAACAGAGAUGGAUCCUGUAACACAGGGACAAGGAUUGACAGCUCUGGGACUAAUGUGGAGGAGAGUGAAGAAGUCCGGGAGGCACCACUUCUCUCCCUGUGCAUGCCCAAAGGAUGAGCUGGGCUGGGAUAAUCCUUGCAUCUCCUCUGCUUCUGAGCACAGCCCACUUUGAAGGCCAAUUCUCUCUCAUAUUUGCACCAUUUACUGCCUCACUGCAUUUAUCAUGUGACUCCAAGUGGACAAUCUGUGGCUGUGCUCCAUGAUUUAAGCAUAUGCCGAGAUGCUGGGAUCAUCUCAGGGAUGUUGCCGUCCACCUGGAUACAUCCCUGCACCCCCAGCUCAGUUCCUUGAUGGAAUCAGCUCACUGACUUUUCUGUUUCUCUGUAGCUGUUGUUGGCCGAAUCCUGGGGCUGACUGCUAGGCCAUCGCCAAACACAGCCUUGCUUAUGUUCAGGAUUCCACGAUCUCUGACUCUUCUCUCCUGUGCUUUCAGCUCUUCACUUGGCUGCGUCAGUCAAGUGUUCUUUUCCUCUUAGUUCUCCUUGCUGACUCGGUCCCCUAACUGGGUGAAGGCACACAGUGCUUUCCUUCUAGGACCUUGCUUCCUUUCCUUGGGGCAGAAGAGUUCAUGCCUGAAAGACUGCCUAAUGUCAACAAAACAACAUUCAAAGAAGCAUUGAAACGAAUAACCUAAAAAGGACCAGAUUUUUAAAAAAGCCGGUCCAGUAUCAAGAACUUUGUCACCAUGACGCUAAGCAUCUUAUUCUUUGAAAAGCAUUUUCCACUUCCCGCCCAGAUGUUUGAAGUCAGGAAGAUGCCUCUAAUAUUACAUAAUUACAAAGCUGCUCACUCUCAGUUUCAGGAGGCAAACGUGGCCCACUUCAAGGAAACCAGCCGUUGGCACAUGAUGGCCAUCACAGAGCUCAGGAGCUGACCUUUGGGUGGUUUCUGGUCCACGUGACAAACCCUCCAGGUAAGUCGGAGCAGAAAAGCUACCUGAAGUGAUGGGCAAGUUGCAAAGAGAAAAGGGUGUGGUGCUAUCUGGGAACCAUCUAACGAAAAACCUCUUGCAAGGCAGAUUGAGAAUUUCAGAACAACACUUUCCGACCCAGCUGCCCCAUGACAUCUGUUAACACAAAAGGCAGAGCUGUUUCCUGGAAAGGCUCUUAGUGUUUACAAGGGUGCGACCCUCCUGAUGUUUUUGCAACUUUAAUUAAAAGAUGAGGGAUGGAUUCAUAUCCUCGGCAUUUCCCGUGGGGGAACACACAGGCUGGUUGUACACAACGCUGUACAUUCAAAUGAAAAGAGAAAAAGUGAAUCAGUUAUCCAGAUGUUUCUGAAUUGUACAUGGUCAUAGCCACAGUGGGGAUUUGGUCCAUGGUAAUAAUAUAUUAUUCUUGCAAGAUGGUGGGAGAAAAAUGUUCUGAAAGGAAGAAGAAGGUGUUUUCUUCACACCCUUUUGCACUUUCUUCUCCUUUUUGGGUUUGUGGUUUAACAACGUCCAACAAAAUAGAACAUAGAGACUGAGGACAGAAAACAGAAGCGGAGGGCAAGACCCCUCUUCCAAAUCGCUGGUGGGGGCUGCGGGUUGGAUAGAAACAGCCUUGGUAUAGGGUAGGAGUUGUGGAAACAACACUCAGGCAGAGCCCGGCGGCUCCAGGCGAAGGCGCAGAUAUGUAGCAGGUGGGCACUCAGAAAGUAUGAAUGGCACUAAACAUGACAGUUUGUGUUUCUCAGGUAGUUUAGUCUUUCUUUCUUUGCAGUCUAACAUUUCACCAUUAGAAAUCUUUUCUUUGACUUAAGGAAAAUCUUCUCAGACAUAAGCGUAUGUGAGAAUCAUCCUAGAAAUACGUUAAAUUGCAGGUUUCUGGGCCGGGGCCACUCUCAGAGAUUCUGAUUUAGUGGGUCUGGGGUGGUCUCCGUGAAUGUGCACUGUGAACAAGUACCCCAAAUGGUUCCAGCAUGUUUCUGUUUGUGAGACAAUUAAGGCAUUGCCUAUUCCAGCUGCUCUCUUUCAAAAGAAGACACAGAAACUGCAAAGAGUGACCGUCCAGCCACAGAGUGGGAACCAGGCUCCAGAACACCUAGGGUCUAACUUCGGCUCUUCGUGUGAUUUUGAGCCAUACAAUUAAACUCCGAGGAAUUCCGUUUCCCCAUCCACAAAAUGGAGAAGAAAAUUUUAGCCUAACUACCCUUCUGACUGAUGGGCCAAGGUAAUAACAUUAUUAAAUAAAAUAAUUAAUGUAAAAGCGUUGAAGAGGCUUUGAAAAGCAUUUCAUUCAAUGCACAUAGAAACUGUUCUUAUUAUUUCCCAUUAUCACCCAUUAACACAUGCAUGUGGAUUAGUUUUCAAGAUUAAGCAUUAGGGUGAGGUGAACUUAGAGCAUAAGGGAUAGCUCAGAAAGGAAAGGUGUGGGCGGUGCCACUGCGGCUUACUCAAGGCUGCCAGGAAGGCUCAGGAGGCCACGGAGAUGGGGAGAGAGACAGUAAAGUGUGGAGGUGAGAGUAGGGCUAAGCGUCAGAGAAAAUCUGACCUUCACAAUUUUGUCUUAGGUUUCAUCUUACUGGGCACUAAUAAUGUGCGUGGGGCGAGUUCUAUGUUUUUUAUUCUCAAGAUAUUUUAAUAAGCCUUGAGAGACCCAAACAGCAGAGUGUAGGAGGACCGUUUUUCGUGGAAAGAUAAAUAAAGAAGAGGAACAUUAUGGAAAUCGUAUGGGAAAAGAAUCAGCUUCAAUGCAAAACUUAAAGAAUGUAUUCAAACCAACCACAGACAGCCUCUCACCUUCUGGAUAAUCUCACUCUCUUUUUGGACAGCAAGAAUGGUCAGCUAUCUUCAUAUCCCCUAGGCUGGUUUUGAAAUAGCCACUUCCUUUGGGAAUUCAAACCAAUAAAGAACCCUGCCUUCCAAGGGCAGGGAACCAAGCUAUGUGUGUGUGCACUCAUCUCUCAAAAAUGGUGAUGGGGGGGGUAACAUCUCCAUCUCUCCUGCUGCUUGUGAUUAGCAAAUUCAGUAAAAGGGGAAUGAUGCCUGUCCCUUCCUUAGCACAAAACAUCAGAGACCUGAAGAUGUGAUUCCUAAGGGAAGGGAGGAAAUAUAGGACUGGGGAGCGGGGCCGGUUGCUCAAGGAGCCUCCAGUGGAGAGGUUAAAAUGAGCCUGGAUCCGGCAGAUUACCUCUUGACCAGCGAGACCAUUCUGAAUCGGACAGAUCCCGAAGCUCCCUGCCCGUGUUGUCAGUUCAGGGCACCAACUGGAGUUCGUGCAGCCACUUGGCAUGGCACCGUGGGGCA